CGAUGGAAAACAGGUUAAUAUUCCUGUACUGAUUUUUAAGUGGUACCGAGGGACGGAGAAGGGAACAGUUGGUCAAUAUUGGAUGUUGACGGAAACGUUCAAGGUGAUGAGAGAUAGAAUAAAAACUAUUCUUGAGCUGAGGCGUGAUACGGUUUUAUUCCCUGUAUGAGAGCUUUGCUCAAAUUCAAAAUGAAACUCAAUUAGUUGUCAAACUUCCUAGAAAAGCUCGAACUUCCAAUACUUAAAAAUUACCCGUACCCGAAACCGACACAGGUAGGUAGGUAGAGUAUACCAAGGGGCGCGAGAUAACUCUCUCUAAGGAACUCGGCAAAAUGGCCCCGUAACUUCGGGAGAAGGGGUGCCCUCAAUUAAGAGGGCCGCAGUGACCAGGCCCAGGCGACUGUUUACCAAAAACACAGGUCUCCGCUAAGUCGUAAGACAAUAUAUGGGGGCUGACGCCUGCCCAGUGCCGGAAGGUGAAGGAAGUUGGUUACUUGAACAUAUGUUUGAGAAAGCUGACAACCGAAGCCCCGGUGAACGGCGGCCGUAACUAUAACGGUCCUAAGGUAGCGAAAUUCCUUGUCAGGUAAGUUCUGACCCGCACGAAAGGUGUAACGAUCUGGGCACUGUCUCGGAGAGAGGCUCGGUGAAAUAGACAUGUCCGUGAAGAUGCGGACUACCUACACCUGGACAGAAAGACCCUAUGAAGCUUUACUGUAGCCUGGAAUUGAAUUUGGGCUUUUCUUGCGCAGUCUAGGUGGGAGGCGUUGAUAGUUCCUUUCCGGAGGAGCUGGAGCCGUCAGUGAGAGACCACUCUGGAGAAGCUAGAAUUCUAAUGGCGAUCCUUGAAUCAGGACGCUUGACAGUUUCAGGUGGGCAGUUUGACUGGGGCGGUCGUCUCCUAAAAGGUAACGGAGAUGUGCAAAGGUUCCCUCAGGCUGGACGGAAAUCAGCCGAAGAGUGUAAAGGCAUAAGGGAGCUUGACUGCAAGACCUACAAGUCGAGCAGGGGCGAAAGCCGGCCUUAGUGAUCCGACGGUACCGAGUGGAAGGGCCGUCGCUCAACGGAUAAA
RNAcentral lists this ribosomal RNA (1072 nucleotides) under Trebouxia sp. G0910. RNAcentral's name for it is "LSU rRNA". It matches the Rfam family "Bacterial large subunit ribosomal RNA", at positions 1416 to 2460 of the family's 2925-position model. RNAcentral also lists the same sequence under 4 other names. The record is from RNAcentral. Lineage: Eukaryota; Viridiplantae; Chlorophyta; Trebouxiophyceae; Trebouxiales; Trebouxiaceae.